CAGAGCUCGGGGAAAGUAGAACAGAUGAACGGGGAAAUUAAAAAGCAACUUACUAAAUUAAUGUUAGAAACGAAAACCUCUUGGAUAAAGUGCUUGCCACUAGCUUUGUUAAGUAUACGCGUGAAGCCCAGGACUGAUCUGGGAAUCUCCCCUUUUGAAAUGCUGUAUGGUAUGCCUUACGAUCUUGAGAUACCCCUUGAUCAUCCCCACCUACAAGAUGAUCAAUUAAAACCUUACCUCACACAAUUGAUAAAUAGACGCGGGGAAUUACAGAAAAAGGGUUUAAUUGUGCAACGUCCUCCUUUGGAUAUGGCAAUCCACAAGAUACAGCCUGGAGAUAAGGUCCUGAUAAAACCUUGGAAAGAAGUUACAUUAACACCACAAUGGGAAGGCCCCUAUGUUGUUUUGCUUACUACAGAAACAGCUGUCCGGACUGUGGAGAAAGGAUGGACACAUGCCAGCCGUGUUAAAGGACCCAUCUGUGACGAGAAGUGGGAGGUCGCUCCAGGAAACAAAGACCUGAAGCUCACAUUGCGACGAACUCGAUAGGUACCGUGGGUUAAGGCAGAGGCUCUCCCCUGAAGAACACUACUGCUGCCGAGAAGAACUAAAACCUCGUAGUUGGCUGCAACCCAACUGACGAGUGAGGCAGAGGAGUGAAUAAGUGGGGAAAGAAAUGGUCCUCAGCCAUUCCUAUCGGUAUUUAGGGGUUCUCGCAGUGAUUUCAUCCUGCAUAGCGACUCAACACCACCCCCACCAACCCUUUAAAUGGACUUUAAGUCGAUUCGAGGAUCAACAGGAGGACAACGCAGAAACUUUGAUGCUCAGCAAGCAAAUAUUGCAAAAAUUCAAUGAACAAAA
Molecule: long non-coding RNA, 861 nt
Organism: Oxyura jamaicensis (ruddy duck)
Lineage: Eukaryota; Metazoa; Chordata; Aves; Anseriformes; Anatidae
Exons: 2
Source: RefSeq, a predicted model, not a curated record